RNAcentral lists this long non-coding RNA (212 nucleotides) under Homo sapiens (human). RNAcentral's name for it is "HSALNT0175017". The record is from RNAcentral. Lineage: Eukaryota; Metazoa; Chordata; Mammalia; Primates; Hominidae.
ACCUAGGCCUACCCAGCAGGAACAGUGGACUUCAUACGUGGUGUCCAAGACAUCACAUCAAAGCAAAUGGAAUCUACAACCAUGAUCACAGAAGGCCUGGGCCUUGGUAAAUUGCCUGUCAAGAACAACUGGGAAAACGGUUCCUUGUGGGCACUCACUUGAGUGUGUUCUGUGAAGAAAUCAGAGUCCUUCUUCUCUGGGGAGUGAUUAGG